Molecule: ribosomal RNA, 253 nt
Filed under: uncultured bacterium
Lineage: Bacteria
Description: partial 16S ribosomal RNA
Rfam family: Bacterial small subunit ribosomal RNA
Source: RNAcentral
UACAGAGGUCUCAAGCGUUGUUCGGAUUCAUUGGGCGUAAAGGGUGCGUAGGUGGCGCGCUAAGUCAGGUGUGAAAUUUCGGAGCUCAACUCCGAAACUGCAUUUGAUACUGGCGUGCUUGAGGACUGGAGAGGAGACUGGAAUUUACGGUGUAGCAGUGAAAUGCGUAGAGAUCGUAAGGAAGACCAGUGGCGAAGGCGGGUCUCUGGACAGUUCCUGACACUGAGGCACGAAGGCCAGGGGAGCAAACGGG